RNAcentral lists this transfer RNA (74 nucleotides) under Acholeplasma laidlawii. It matches the Rfam family "tRNA". Rfam says of the family: Transfer RNA (tRNA) molecules are approximately 80 nucleotides in length. Their secondary structure includes four short double-helical elements and three loops (D, anti-codon, and T loops). Lineage: Bacteria; Bacillati; Mycoplasmatota; Mollicutes; Acholeplasmatales; Acholeplasmataceae. The record is from Rfam by way of RNAcentral.
GGCUCUGUAGCUCAGUCGGUAGAGCAGUGGCCUGAAGAGCCUCGUGUCAGCCGGUUCGAUUCCGCUUGGAGCCA